RNAcentral lists this ribosomal RNA (497 nucleotides) under uncultured bacterium. RNAcentral's name for it is "partial 16S ribosomal RNA". It matches the Rfam family "Bacterial small subunit ribosomal RNA", at positions 28 to 507 of the family's 1533-position model. The record is from RNAcentral.
GAUGAACGCUGGCGGCGUGCCUAAUACAUGCAAGUCGAGCGAACGGACGAGAAGCUUGCUUCUCUGAUGUUAGCGGCGGACGGGUGAGUAACACGUGGAUAACCUACCUAUAAGACUGGGGUAACUUCGGGAAACCGGAGCUAAUACCGGAUAAUAUUUUGAACCGCAUGGUUCAAAAGUGAAAGACGGUCUUGCUGUCACUUAUAGAUGGAUCCGCGCUGCAUUAGCUAGUUGGUAAGGUAACGGCUUACCAAGGCAACGAUGCAUAGCCGACCUGGGAGGGUGAUCGGCCACACUGGAACUGAGACACGGUCCAGACUCCUACGGGAGGCAGCAGUAGGGAAUCUUCCGCAAUGGGCGAAAGCCUGACGGAGCAACGCCGCGUGAGUGAUGAAGGUCUUCGGAUCGUAAAACUCUGUUAUUAGGGAAGAACAUAUGUGUAAGUAACUGUGCACAUCUUGACGGUACCUAGUCAGAAAGCCACGGCUAACUACGUG